RNAcentral lists this ribosomal RNA (759 nucleotides) under uncultured Prevotella sp. Its description in RNAcentral is "bacterial SSU rRNA". It matches the Rfam family "Bacterial small subunit ribosomal RNA", at positions 28 to 777 of the family's 1533-position model. The record is from RNAcentral. Lineage: Bacteria; Pseudomonadati; Bacteroidota; Bacteroidia; Bacteroidales; Prevotellaceae.
GAUGAACGCUGACAGAAUGCUUAACACAUGCAAGUCAACUUGAAUUUGGGUUUUUAACUUAGAUUUGGGUGGCGGACGGGUGAGCAACGCGUAAAGAACUUGCCUCACAGCUAGGGACAACAUUUAGAAAUGAAUGCUAAUACCUGAUAUUAUGAUUUUAAGGCAUCUUAGAAUUAUGAAAGCUAUAAGCACUGUGAGAGAGCUUUGCGUCCCAUUAGCUAGUUGGAGAGGUAACAGCUCACCAAGGCAAUGAUGGGUAGCCGGCCUGAGAGGGUGAACGGCCACAAGGGGACUGAGACACGGCCCUUACUCCUACGGGAGGCAGCAGUGGGGAAUAUUGGGCAAUGGGGGGAACCCUGACGCAGCCAUGCCGCGUGAAUGAAGAAGGCCUUCGGGUUGUAAAGUUCUUUCGGUAUUGAGGAAGGGAUGUGUGCUAAUAGUAGACAUCAUUGACGUUAAAUACAGAAGAAGCACCGGCUAACUCCGUGCCAGCAGCCGCGGUAAUACGGAGGGUGCGAGCGUUAAUCGGAAUAACUGGGCGUAAAGGGCACGCAGGCGGUUAUUUAAGUGAGGUGUGAAAGCCCCGGGCUUAACCUGGGAAUUGCAUUUCAGACUGGGUAACUAGAGUACUUUAGGGAGGGGUAGAAUUCCACGUGUAGCGGUGAAAUGCGUAGAGAUGUGGAGGAAUACCGAAGGCGAAGGCAGCCCCUUGGGAAUGUACUGACGCUCAUGUGCGAAAGCGUGGGGGAGCAAACAGGG